CCUGUACACAUGUUAGUCUCGCGCAAGCUAGUUGACGCAGAGCAGUCGUUCACUUACUGGACUUAGAUGUGAAACCCAUACGGACUUAGUCAUCACAGAGUGUGAUAGACUCUCAUGUGUGUAAAGGGACUUAGCCGCGUACUUGUUGAGCAUGAUAAAGUCUUAGCUGCUCAGAGGAAGAAAAAACAUAAGUUCCGAAUAACAGGGACUUUUGCAGAUAUUAGCAUAUAUCGUCGACACUGAAGCCCUCGACCCCAACGGUUAGCAUCCGCUUUACGUGGCCGUGAACACCGAACACUUCAGUUUCGUAUGUUACCGCGACACCGGUCCAUCUUUUUCGCUCAGCUGCUAGAGAGCGGCCCUCGGAUAAAUUCACUAACAGCGAGACUGUGCUGCACAUACGAAAAAGGGCUGCUCCACCUUCGCCAACCACUUGCUUGAUGCGAGAGCUGAAGAGGCGAGCGAAGGACGUUGCUGCGAUUCGCGGUGGAGGGGAGACUACAUCGAUUGCCUGGAACAGCUAUACUAAUUUUAGAUAUGCACGUCGAGCGGAAGUUCUCCAAAAUUAUCGUGGCGGAUGACGAGUUUGCGAGAACAAAGCCACGAUGAAGUGAUGAGACUGAAACUGAAGCGAAGUUGAAUAACGCGCGAGACAACGUUUUACCUCUUUCUUCGUGGCAAUCGAUGCUGGAUGAUCAAUUUCGUAGCUAACGACGUGGAUUGUAGAAUAUUUGCAGAUCAUACCAAUUAUCCCGGGUACAAGAUCGCGUUGAUAAGAUUUUCCUAUUUUUGCAGCAUGCUCGACAAAAAUUAUCGCAUUGGCGUAUGAUGUGCACCGGUACUCAAUGCUGCCUUGAGAGGCUCGUAAUAGUCUUUUGCAAUUGCCACACGUAACUAUAAUCAAGAAUCCUGUUGGUAUACCGAUUUUCUCACCGUCGACGACUUUAAAAAUAUUAUUAAAACGAUGUUAUAUUAUUAGAUAUUAUUAAAGAUCAACUAAAAAUUGUAAAUACA
Phymastichus coffea is the source of this 1014-nucleotide long non-coding RNA. RefSeq lists it as uncharacterized. The transcript is spliced from 3 exons. Lineage: Eukaryota; Metazoa; Arthropoda; Insecta; Hymenoptera; Eulophidae. The record is from RefSeq and is a predicted model, not a curated record.